GGAGGGUUGGCCGAGCGGACGAAGGCAGCGGUCUUGAAAACCGCCGGGCGGUUCACGCCGUCCCGUGGGUUCGAAUCCCACACCCUCCG
This 89-nucleotide transfer RNA is filed under the name Profundirhabdus halotolerans. Its description in RNAcentral is "tRNA-Ser". It matches the Rfam family "tRNA". From Rfam's summary of the family: Transfer RNA (tRNA) molecules are approximately 80 nucleotides in length. Their secondary structure includes four short double-helical elements and three loops (D, anti-codon, and T loops). The record is from RNAcentral. Lineage: Bacteria; Bacillati; Actinomycetota; Nitriliruptoria; Nitriliruptorales; Nitriliruptoraceae.